This 907-nucleotide ribosomal RNA is filed under the name Shigella sonnei. Its description in RNAcentral is "bacterial LSU rRNA". It matches the Rfam family "Bacterial large subunit ribosomal RNA", at positions 1 to 940 of the family's 2925-position model. Lineage: Bacteria; Pseudomonadati; Pseudomonadota; Gammaproteobacteria; Enterobacterales; Enterobacteriaceae. The record is from RNAcentral.
GGGUUGUGAGGUUAAGCGACUAAGCGUACACGGUGGAUGCCCUGGCAGUCAGAGGCGAUGAAGGACGUGCUAAUCUGCGAUAAGCGUCGGUAAGGUGAUAUGAACCGUUAUAACCGGCGAUUUCCGAAUGGGGAAACCCAGUGUGAUUCGUCACACUAUCAUUAACUGAAUCCAUAGGUUAAUGAGGCGAACCGGGGGAACUGAAACAUCUAAGUACCCCGAGGAAAAGAAAUCAACCGAGAUUCCCCCAGUAGCGGCGAGCGAACGGGGAGCAGCCCAGAGCCUGAAUCAGUGUGUGUGUUAGUGGAAGCGUCUGGAAAGGCGCGCGAUACAGGGUGACAGCCCCGUACACAAAAAUGCACAUAUUGUGAGCUCGAUGAGUAGGGCGGGACACGUGGUAUCCUGUCUGAAUAUGGGGGGACCAUCCUCCAAGGCUAAAUACUCCUGACUGACCGAUAGUGAACCAGUACCGUGAGGGAAAGGCGAAAAGAACCCCGGCGAGGGGAGUGAAAAAGAACCUGAAACCGUGUACGUACAAGCAGUGGGAGCACGCUUAGGCGUGUGACUGCGUACCUUUUGUAUAAUGGGUCAGCGACUUAUAUUCUGUAGCAAGGUUAACCGAAUAGGGGAGCCGAAGGGAAACCGAGUCUUAACUGGGCGUUAAGUUGCAGGGUAUAGACCCGAAACCCGGUGAUCUAGCCAUGGGCAGGUUGAAGGUUGGGUAACACUAACUGGAGGACCGAACCGACUAAUGUUGAAAAAUUAGCGGAUGACUUGUGGCUGGGGGUGAAAGGCCAAUCAAACCGGGAGAUAGCUGGUUCUCCCCGAAAGCUAUUUAGGUAGCGCCUCGUGAAUUCAUCUCCGGGGGUAGAGCACUGUUUCGGCAAGGGGGUCAUCCCGACUUACC